RNAcentral lists this unclassified non-coding RNA (392 nucleotides) under soil metagenome. RNAcentral's name for it is "partial contains 5.8S ribosomal RNA, internal transcribed spacer 2, and large subunit ribosomal RNA". The stretch from base 1 to 122 matches the Rfam family "5.8S ribosomal RNA", at positions 35 to 154 of the family's 154-position model. The record is from RNAcentral.
GAUGAAGAACGCAGCGAAAUGCGAUACUUGGUGUGAAUUGCAGAAUCCCGUGAACCAUCGAGUCUUUGAACGCAAGUUGCGCCCGAAGCCAUCAGGUUGAGGGCACGUCUGCCUGGGCGUCACAUAUCGUUGCUCGAUGCCUAUCGCAUUGCGAUAGGACUUAGGGCGAAUGAUGGCUUCCCGUGAGCGUUGUUGCCUCGCGGUUGGUUGAAAAUCGAGUCCUUGGUAGGGUGUGCCAUGAUAGAUGGUGGUCGAGUUCGCACGAGACCGAUCAUGUGCAUGCUCCCCAAAAUAUGGCCUCUGUGACCCACACGCGUCUUUUGACGCUCAUGACGAGACCUCAGGUCAGGCGGGGCUACCCGCUGAAUUUAAGCAUAUCAAUAAGCGGAGGA